This is a non-coding RNA of Equus caballus (horse), 6986 nucleotides long. Lineage: Eukaryota; Metazoa; Chordata; Mammalia; Perissodactyla; Equidae. The record is from RefSeq and is a predicted model, not a curated record.
UUGUAGACAGAAAUGUUAUAAAUAUAUAUAAUUCUACUGUAACUUAUUUCGCUUUCUAUUCUUGCAGAUUAGAUAGUACUACAAAGUCAAUUUAAAGAGUUUUAAGUACACUGUAAAAAUGCAAAAAUUCAGCAUAACUGGGCUAAAAUAAGUUUUAAAUAGUAACCACAGAGAAUCUACACAUCAAUCCAUAUUUAUAACCAACUAUAGAAGAAAUAAUUCUCUCUAGAAAGUGCCUAUUUUAAAUAAAUAUAUAAAAUGCAUUUACAUGUGUUUCUAAAAUUAUCCUAUAAUGUUCCACAAAUGGAAUCAACAUGGAAAAUAAUUUUUCAUGGUUAUUUGUCCAUAAAUAAAAGCACCAAAGAAAACGUGGAUAAAGUUAAAAUAAGUACCAUUUUAUUGAAGGGUAAGUAAUUUACAGGCAAACCCAACAUGAAUUUCCUUUCUUCAUGUUUCCAGGAGCCGCCUGGCUGCACAGGAUGUAGAGAAGGACAGGAAGUGAGAGCACAGAGGUCGGAGUCUCAGUCUCAGCUCACCAACCCUGUCUGAAGCUGAGGCAGCAAAGAGACGUACAGUUUCCCUUCAGCCACCAGCUAGAUGUGUAAGUUUGGUGUCACUUAAUCUUCCUGGGACUUAAAUUCUCUCAUCUGGAAAAAGCAUGGGGAUGAGGUUCUAGGUCUCAAGACUGCUCUAUAUGCACGCCCAAGUGUGGAGCAAUUCCACAACUUUCCCAAAGUCACUGGGACCUAGCUGCCUAUUACUCAUUAAAGGAUGUUUGCCAGAGCCCUGGGAUUUCGCAGAAAUGCAUCAGGGUCAAGCCACAGGAGCAAGCGUGGCCCUGCUGCGCGGGCAGGGCUGUCCCCCACCAGGCAGCUCCACUUCUGAUGUUUUACAAACUAGGAGACUAGUAAGAUGUCAUCUGGCGGCAAGAGUUUUGCUGAUUUUUAACCACUGGUCUAGAAAAUCACACUUUACUUCUAAAGUGCAUUCUGUGUUUCAGAGUUUCUAAUACCUGGAGAAACAAAGUUAAAGAUAACACUCUAUACCUACAGUCCUGACCUGGAGACAGGUUUUCACCACGGAUGGAAAUAGGAUGUUAUAAGCUACGUUAAAGCAGACCUAACCGCAACAGCUCGUCCCGAGCGCUCUCGCUGACUGCGCGUUUACUGCGCUGGGCCAGAUGCUCCCAGAGGCGCGGCCAGCCAAGACUCCGGUGACCUGAGGCUGGAAGGACAAGUUUUUCAUUGUUUUCCUGUACAGAAAGUGGCAAGGGCAGCUUUGAGGGAUGACAAGUUCUAACAACGUUGCCCUGUGUGGAGAGACCUGAGUGCUUUGUAAACACUAUGUGAUAAAGUAAAGGUUCAAGGAAACGGUGAACUGAAGGUUGGUCAAAUCUCCAAAGAAACAAAAGGGAGAAAAGGAAAAGAGCCAGAAAAGGAAGGAAAGGAGAGCCUGCUGUCAGCCUAGCUGCACCCGUCCAGCCCCACGGGUCCGGCAGCAGCACUGCAGGCACUGCAGGGUCCGGCAGAAACUUCCGCUCUAAUGUGGAGCCUGCAUGCGGCUCAAAAGCAGCACUAGUGACCACACUCCUUCAAGAGGUCAACACCGACACUCGCUGCUGCCUUCCUUGUGCUCCUCUGAACAGGAGAGCAACCAUGGGGGGAUCACCGCCACACCUGGAGUCCUAGGGUGGGCAGUAACCACGCAGUCUGCUUCUAUCAAGGUUGUUUUCCUCUGUGAUUACAUCUUAAAAAUGAGAUAUAUUGAUUAAGCUUUAAGAAUAUACAGUAAUAGUAGCUGUAAAUGAUAAGCUACUUUUAAUAAAAACUAGAAACCAAAUUUAAUAUUUAUGUGAAUUAUCAGUAUAACAAUGACUUGGUCUCAAAAUUAUACAGCCUGAAUCAAAGAACAGAUUGACUCCAAAAACAAUAUUUACCAUAAAAACAAUUUCCAUAAAGCAAAUCUUGCAUGCUCUAAUAUUCCAAGUGAAACAUGAACAAGGGGAAAAUAAUAUAGGUUGAGUCAAAAACCUCUUAUUUAAAAAAAAAAGACAGUCACUAAAAUGACACACUAGGCACUGUAAGGCCAAGUGGCCGACGGUUCCUAAGGAGCUGUGUCAGCGCCUUGCCAUGCCUCGGUACGCCACGGGCGGGGCCGCUCUGCUGCUCCCAGCCUCAGCACACUAAGCCAUGCUCCAUCCAGCACGCUGGGCCAGUGGUCUUCUCAUCUCAGUCAGAGGGUCCAGAACUGAUUCCUUUUUAACUCAGUAUUUAUGUGUAUUGUACAACAGAGGUGCAUUUGCUCUCACGUCUUCCCAUUACAUACCACAGCUUAAAAUGCAAAUUUCAGCAAAAUUCUUUCAUUUGAGACUAAAUGGUUCCACGAGAUGAAUGUUUCCAAGUCAUUUAAAUAUGGUUUUAUUGUGGUAUGUAUAACAACCCCCAUAUACCUAUAUUAGUAUAGUUUCCUCUCUCCUUUAAUAGGUAUCACCACCAGAAAAAAAAAUUGUUGACAUAACUUCUAGCUACUUAGGUAAAUGAAAAAACAGGAUUCAAAGAAUCAAAUGAACAAAAACAUGAGGCUACAAAUGAACAUAACAUUUAGUCAGUUAUCAUACCUGAAUAUCCCCAGAGAAGCUGUUGUGCUAGAACAUAAUUAAAUCCGUUCUUAGAAAAAGCCAGAAUUGUCAUAAUUUUUACAUGACAGCUACAGAAAUUAUUCUAUAUCUUAAAAUAACACUGUUUGGAGAAUCUUUACACAUCAUCAUGUAAAAGAAAAAUCAUAAACACAACUCCAAAUAUAGCUGAAUAUACAUUUAAGAUUUAAAGAUGUAUUUCAAUGCAAACUAAAUCCAAACUACACAAGGGUGGGAAAUCUUAGUUCAGAACAAAAGCAAAGAAGAAAGGAGUAUACACUUUAUAUGCAUAAACUACAUUUCAACAACAUAAAUAAAGUCAUUUCCUAAACUCCAAAUGGGCUUUCUAUAUAGGCUAUCAUCAUGUAACAUUCAGAUAUUCUAGAUAAGAAUUAAGAAAGGCAAGACAUCUGAUUUUUUAAAAGUUUUGGACCAUGUCCACAAAGUAAGUAUACAAUUAAUUCUGACUUUAUGAUAAAGAAAGGGAGGUUUACAUUUCCAUGGCUUGUUCAUGGGACCACCAAUAACAAACUUCAAAGAAUUGCUCAUGGACAUCUAACCCCUCCUCUGCCUAAAGCAAGCCAUUUAUUGGAUAAGUACAUCUCCACAUCUCUGAGAGAUGUCUGCACACUUGGGUACCUCGGGCUAACCUUACCAAAGGAAGUUAAGCUCCUCCAAUCUUAACAUCCUUCCAAUUACUUUAGAGGCAUUUUGUCAGUCAGUGAAGAUUGACUCAGUGCUAGAGAUACAGAAAGGACCACGCAGACAUGGUCCCAGACCUCGUCUUGCAGUCUAAGGGGAAGGCAGGCAUUAGAUAAAUUAUCGUCAGUGAUUACACAGGGAUGAGUCUGCGAGCGCUCUGAGGAGCUCAGUGCUCUGUUCACACACAGGGCUGCGUGCACAACGAGCACGGGCAGCGAGAGGACGGGACGGCAAAGGAAACCAUGCGCAGCACAACUUAGGGAGGAUAAGAACGCGUGGGCUUCCAAACAUGAGAAAGACCAAGGGGGAUACGGAAGGAGGUUAUUAACAACAAUCAUAAUAACAGCAAACACUGAUAUACCCUCUCCACGUACCAGGCAUCUUUACAACACCCAGAAGAUGCAGCCAGAUAAUAAGAAGGCUCACAGGAAAUCUUAAGGAUUUUGGCUGUUGUUCCAAGGAUAACGGGGAAGCCUUUGAAAGAUUUUCAGAUAGGGAGUGGGAAAAUAAUAUUUUAGAAAGAUAAUCCUAGCAGUACUGUACUGUAUUAACUACAGAAGCAAGAAGAGGUGUGGGGAGAUUUUCGACGUUAUUUCCACAUUCCAGGUAAGAAACGAAGGUGGCCUGAAUGACGGUGAGGGUGGAGUUGGGAGGGAGAAAGACCGUAAACAUGGCCCUUGUGUGCAACAAGUAGCUGUGGAAGCACAAACCCACAUCCUCGUGGCAAAGCCUGCCCAAAAUCUUGAGAAUACUGCUGAUCUAUACAUCUGAGGCUGCCACCUAAAAGUGCAACUUUUUCUGAAGAUUUCUACAUACAUAUAUGAGAUGCCAUUAUCUCUUAAAUGAAUACUGUAAAUCCUCACAAAGUGUGUCAAAGUGGACAGUGUCGUAUGCUCUCCAUCCAGACACGAAAUUUGCAGCCUUUCCCCUGACCAUUUGAGACAGAACACGGGCCACCUCCUCUGUGAGGUCCCCCUGCCCUGCCCCCGCCUCUACCAACUCUCUUCUCUGUAUCUGAUGGAGGAUCCAUCAUGCUAAAUGACAGUAUUAUUUACAUUGCUGUCCCCGCUCAGCUGUGAGCUCUUUCAGUUUUAUUCAUCUUUAUAUUAUUUCCAUCUAGCACCAUGCCUGGUACAUAGGGGAAAUUCAAACAAAUGUUUAUUGAAGAGUGUCUGGUCAUGAAAUGGAACAAAGCAUGAGGCUAAAUGUAAUAAAUAAGAAUGAAAAAAAUUUAAAUGUAAAUAAGAUCUUGGUGCCAACCCAUUAGGCAUUCCUACCAUUUGACUGAAUCGAUUGCUUUUUAUCUAUAUAUGUCCUCUAAAACCCAGUUACCUGCUCUUCUAACUAUUCAACAAUUUCUGACAGCCACCUAUUUACUCACGCAACUUACUACAGAAAUAAUCUAGACCUGGAAAUAGAAAAAAAAUAGAGAAUCGUAGCUCCAAUUCUGCAACUCAAGCAAGUCACUUAAAUCCUUCAAACUCUUUCAGCUUCACUGUCUCCAUCUCUCAAAUGAAGAUGAUAACACGGGCUCUACUAUCUCACUAUCAUAGAAAACAAUUAAGACAAGAGAAGACACAGCUGUCCCUCAGCAUCCGCCGGGCAUUGGUUCUAGGACCCCGCAGAUGCCAAAAUCCCGGGAUGCUCAAGUCCUUUACACAAAAUGGCAUAGUAUUUGCAUAUAACCUACACACAUCCUCCCAUAUACUUUAAAUCAUCUCUAGAUUAUUUAUAAUACCUAAUGCAAUGUAAACGCUAUGUAAACAGUUGUUAUACUGUAUUGUUUAGGGAAGAACGACAUGCUGAAUAAAGAUGCAACCACCGUAGGUCUUUCAACCUGUGGUUGGUUGAAUCUGCAGAUGCGGACCCAUGGACACGGAGGGCUGACUAUACUUACUUGAAAAAGAUACUAAAUCACAGGCACAACACCAGGGAUCUGCCUUUUCAUCUUGGUACUCCUGUCCCCCCAACACCAUCCCCACCCUGCCCCGCAUAUGGAAGCAUUAACAUGUCGAAGCAAAGUGUCACCAGGUACUGGGAAUACAAAAAUAAAAUAAUAAGCACCCCGCUCUCAAGGAUUUUCUAGUGUAGCACAGUAAAAAUAUGAUUGCAGUAAGGCAAAGAGAAUUAAGUGGACUGUGUACUGGGCUCCACAAGCAAAGAAGAGGCAUCUACGCCAGAUUUGCCCGGCAGGGGCAGGGGUGUGGAGACACACAUGAAAGGAAGCCUCUUGGAGGAGACUUGUGGGCUGAAUACUAAAAGACGAAUCAAAGUUAGCAAGGCAAAGUGGAGGACGGAAAGAGUAUUCUAAGCAAAAGGAACACCAUGUACAAAAAUACAGAUAUGAGAAGACUUUCAUUCCACCCACCUUGAAGGAGGCACUGUGCCACACAGCGGUGACAAAUCUCACAGGGCUCCACUCUCAUGAGAUGAAGGGAGCACUCAAGUUUAUCAAUCUACAAUGCUUGGGGUGAGAACAGAAGAGGGACACUGAAUGCAUCAAGGUCAAUGAGAUGGCAAGUUCACAAGCAUGGAAAGUCCACACUAACAAGACUAGAUCGAUCCUGAGAGAAUCAGCAUCCACUGGAGAACCUGCAGCAGGGGAGGGGCCUGAGCAGGUGGAGAGAGAGCAUGAGAGGGAGGGAAUCCUGAGAGAAUCAGCAUCCACUGGAGAACCUGCAGCAGGGGAGGGGCCUGAGCAGAUGGAGAGCGAGCAUGAGAGGGAGGGAAUCCUGAGAGAAUCAGCAUCCACUGGAGAACCUGCAGCAGGGGAGGGGCCUGAGCAGAUGGAGAGCGAGCAUGAGAGGGAGGGAAUCCACGAAAAGGCUGCAGUAAUAAUGUCACAAGACACACAGGACCGAUACACCAACAGUGGCAGUGCAAUAAGAGAAAGGGACCAAUAAACAAAGUUUAAUCAACAGAAGCUGGAAACUGUGGAGAACAAAGCUGAGAAACAGGAUUCAUUCUUGAGCAACUACAUGGGUAAUGGGUACCUUUCUCAAUAGGAUCGCUCAAAAGGAGAAACAGAUUUGGGGAAAAGAUGGGGACUGAAGCUGUGAAAAUGUUGAUUUUGAGAUACUUACAGAACUCCAAGUGCAAAAAAGAUAACAGUUGCCAUUUUAUCAGUAUUUCUUAUGUUCCAGGUAUUAUGUUAAAAUAUAUUCUGUAUACCUCAUCUGAUCUUCAGAGUAAUUCCGACUAUGAGUAAAACACUACAAAAGAGCUUUUCAAUAACCUAUGCUGCUAUGAUAAUGCAAAAUGGGAUAAAAUUCAAUUACUAGGUUGUCAUUGCCUGCCAUCCUCCACUCAACCCUUAUUCUCAUUUCAUUAACCUGGUAAUAAAGCAAUCUUGCAAUUUAUGUAAUUGAAUCUUGAGGGCCUCAGAUACACUCUUAGGGAAGGAUGUUACCGUAUUACCAUGUUAUUGAUGAGGAAACAGAGGCUCAGAGAGGUAGGGUAAUUUGUUCAAAGUCACACAAGAGAAGAGUCAAGUUUGAGCCCAGAUUUGUGUGACUACAACGUCCAGGUUUGUAACCACUACACUAUACUACCCCUCUUGAGACUGGGGUGGCAACUGAAGACACGGAGGUCAUUACAUGUGCAUGACAGUGGAUGCCUGGCAGUGAAGGAGCAGACUCAAAGGAAGUAA